GGGUUGUGAGGUUAAGCGACUAAGCGUACACGGUGGAUGCCCUGGCAGUCAGAGGCGAUGAAGGACGUGCUAAUCUGCGAUAAGCGUCGGUAAGGUGAUAUGAACCGUUAUAACCGGCGAUUUCCGAAUGGGGAAACCCAGUGUGUUUCGACACACUAUCAUUAACUGAAUCCAUAGGUUAAUGAGGCGAACCGGGGGAACUGAAACAUCUAAGUACCCCGAGGAAAAGAAAUCAACCGAGAUUCCCCCAGUAGCGGCGAGCGAACGGGGAGCAGCCCAGAGCCUGAAUCAGUGUGUGUGUUAGUGGAAGCGUCUGGAAAGGCGUGCGAUACAGGGUGACAGCCCCGUACACAAAAAUGCACAUAUUGUGAGCUCGAUGAGUAGGGCGGGACACGUGGUAUCCUGUCUGAAUAUGGGGGGACCAUCCUCCAAGGCUAAAUACUCCUGACUGACCGAUAGUGAACCAGUACCGUGAGGGAAAGGCGAAAAGAACCCCGGCGAGGGGAGUGAAAAAGAACCUGAAACCGUGUACGUACAAGCAGUGGGAGCACUCUUAUGGGUGUGACUGCGUACCUUUUGUAUAAUGGGUCAGCGACUUAUAUUCUGUAGCAAGGUUAACCGAAUAGGGGAGCCGAAGGGAAACCGAGUCUUAACUGGGCGUUAAGUUGCAGGGUAUAGACCCGAAACCCGGUGAUCUAGCCAUGGGCAGGUUGAAGGUUGGGUAACACUAACUGGAGGACCGAACCGACUAAUGUUGAAAAAUUAGCGGAUGACUUGUGGCUGGGGGUGAAAGGCCAAUCAAACCGGGAGAUAGCUGGUUCUCCCCGAAAGCUAUUUAGGUAGCGCCUCGUGAAUUCAUCUCCGGGGGUAGAGCACUGUUUCGGCAAGGGGGUCAUCCCGACUUACCAACCCGAUGCAAACUGCGAAUACCGGAGAAUGUUAUCACGGGAGACACACGGCGGGUGCUAACGUCCGUCGUGAAGAGGGAAACAACCCAGACCGCCAGCUAAGGUCCCAAAGUCAUGGUUAAGUGGGAAACGAUGUGGGAAGGCCCAGACAGCCAGGAUGUUGGCUUAGAAGCAGCCAUCAUUUAAAGAAAGCGUAAUAGCUCACUGGUCGAGUCGGCCUGCGCGGAAGAUGUAACGGGGCUAAACCAUGCACCGAAGCUGCGGCAGCGACGCUUAUGCGUUGUUGGGUAGGGGAGCGUUCUGUAAGCCUGUGAAGGUGUGCUGUGAGGCAUGCUGGAGGUAUCAGAAGUGCGAAUGCUGACAUAAGUAACGAUAAAGCGGGUGAAAAGCCCGCUCGCCGGAAGACCAAGGGUUCCUGUCCAACGUUAAUCGGGGCAGGGUGAGUCGACCCCUAAGGCGAGGCCGAAAGGCGUAGUCGAUGGGAAACAGGUUAAUAUUCCUGUACUUGGUGUUACUGCGAAGGGGGGACGGAGAAGGCUAUGUUGGCCGGGCGACGGUUGUCCCGGUUUAAGCGUGUAGGCUGGUUUUCCAGGCAAAUCCGGAAAAUCAAGGCUGAGGCGUGAUGACGAGGCACUACGGUGCUGAAGCAACAAAUGCCCUGCUUCCAGGAAAAGCCUCUAAGCAUCAGGUAACAUCAAAUCGUACCCCAAACCGACACAGGUGGUCAGGUAGAGAAUACCAAGGCGCUUGAGAGAACUCGGGUGAAGGAACUAGGCAAAAUGGUGCCGUAACUUCGGGAGAAGGCACGCUGAUAUGUAGGUGAAGUCCCUUGCGGAUGGAGCUGAAAUCAGUCGAAGAUACCAGCUGGCUGCAACUGUUUAUUAAAAACACAGCACUGUGCAAACACGAAAGUGGACGUAUACGGUGUGACGCCUGCCCGGUGCCGGAAGGUUAAUUGAUGGGGUCAGCGCAAGCGAAGCUCUUGAUCGAAGCCCCGGUAAACGGCGGCCGUAACUAUAACGGUCCUAAGGUAGCGAAAUUCCUUGUCGGGUAAGUUCCGACCUGCACGAAUGGCGUAAUGAUGGCCAGGCUGUCUCCACCCGAGACUCAGUGAAAUUGAACUCGCUGUGAAGAUGCAGUGUACCCGCGGCAAGACGGAAAGACCCCGUGAACCUUUACUAUAGCUUGACACUGAACAUUGAGCCUUGAUGUGUAGGAUAGGUGGGAGGCUUUGAAGUGUGGACGCCAGUCUGCAUGGAGCCGACCUUGAAAUACCACCCUUUAAUGUUUGAUGUUCUAACGUGGACCCGUGAUCCGGGUUGCGGACAGUGUCUGGUGGGUAGUUUGACUGGGGCGGUCUCCUCCUAAAGAGUAACGGAGGAGCACGAAGGUUGGCUAAUCCUGGUCGGACAUCAGGAGGUUAGUGCAAUGGCAUAAGCCAGCUUGACUGCGAGCGUGACGGCGCGAGCAGGUGCGAAAGCAGGUCAUAGUGAUCCGGUGGUUCUGAAUGGAAGGGCCAUCGCUCAACGGAUAAAAGGUACUCCGGGGAUAACAGGCUGAUACCGCCCAAGAGUUCAUAUCGACGGCGGUGUUUGGCACCUCGAUGUCGGCUCAUCACAUCCUGGGGCUGAAGUAGGUCCCAAGGGUAUGGCUGUUCGCCAUUUAAAGUGGUACGCGAGCUGGGUUUAGAACGUCGUGAGACAGUUCGGUCCCUAUCUGCCGUGGGCGCUGGAGAACUGAGGGGGGCUGCUCCUAGUACGAGAGGACCGGAGUGGACGCAUCACUGGUGUUCGGGUUGUCAUGCCAAUGGCACUGCCCGGUAGCUAAAUGCGGAAGAGAUAAGUGCUGAAAGCAUCUAAGCACGAAACUUGCCCCGAGAUGAGUUCUCCCUGACUCCUUGAGAGUCCUGAAGGAACGUUGAAGACGACGACGUUGAUAGGCCGGGUGUGUAAGCGCAGCGAUGCGUUGAGCUAACCGGUACUAAUGAACCGUGAGGCUUAACCUUACAACGCCGAAGCUGUU
Molecule: ribosomal RNA, 2930 nt
Filed under: Escherichia coli
Lineage: Bacteria; Pseudomonadati; Pseudomonadota; Gammaproteobacteria; Enterobacterales; Enterobacteriaceae
Description: bacterial LSU rRNA
Rfam family: Bacterial large subunit ribosomal RNA
Source: RNAcentral